GCUGACGAGAUCUUCACGUGUUAAGUAACAAUAUGUAUUAACUUUGUGUACAAAAAAUUGAUAACAUGCUAAAAGAAAUUUCUAAUAAACAAAGUUUUCUUGAACAAAUGGUAAUACAAUUAAAAAUUGGUCUCAAGAUGUUUUGAUCUAAUUGAAAAGAACCAGAAAACAUUAUGAGCCUAACUACUAACAAAUGGAUAAGGGGGGAGGGUGUUCCAAUCUGUCUUUAUUAGAUAAUGUUAACCACCAAGAUUAAAGACUGACUAACAUAUUUUUUUAAUGUAAG
Molecule: non-coding RNA, 286 nt
Organism: Pelobates cultripes (western spadefoot toad)
Lineage: Eukaryota; Metazoa; Chordata; Amphibia; Anura; Pelobatidae
Source: the annotation of a GenBank genome assembly